UCGGGCUGGGCCAGGUAGAGGGUGCGCCACCUCUGGAGAAGGUGGGUGGCGUACUCCCCCUUGGGCGCUUGGGGCACGGGUAGCCCCAGGCCCAAA
RNAcentral lists this transfer RNA (96 nucleotides) under Thermus composti. RNAcentral describes it as "tRNA-Ser". The record is from RNAcentral. Lineage: Bacteria; Thermotogati; Deinococcota; Deinococci; Thermales; Thermaceae.